GAUGAACGCUGGCGGCGCGCCUAACACAUGCAAGUCGAACGAUUAAAGCACCUUCGGGUGUGUAUAAAGUGGCGAACGGCUGAGUAACACGUGGGCAACCUGCCCCUCUCAUUGGGAUAGCCACGGGAAACCGUGGAUAAUACCGAAUACUCCGAGACUUCCGCAUGGAAGACUCGAGAAAGCUCCGGCGGAGAGGGAUGGGCCCGCGGCCUGUUAGCUUGUUGGUGGGGUAACGGCCUACCAAGGCAAUGAUGGGUAGCUGGGUUGAGAGACCGACCAGCCAGAUUGGGACUGAGACACGGCCCAGACUCCUACGGGAGGCAGCAGUGGGGAAUCUUGCACAAUGGGCGAAAGCCUGAUGCAGCGACGCCGCGUGCGGGAUGAAGGCCUUCGGGUUGUAAACCGCCUUCAGCAGGGACGAGGCGAAAGUGACGGUACCUGCAGAAGAAGCCCCGGCUAACUACGUGC
RNAcentral lists this ribosomal RNA (468 nucleotides) under uncultured Atopobium sp. Its description in RNAcentral is "bacterial SSU rRNA". It matches the Rfam family "Bacterial small subunit ribosomal RNA", at positions 28 to 508 of the family's 1533-position model. The record is from RNAcentral. Lineage: Bacteria; Bacillati; Actinomycetota; Coriobacteriia; Coriobacteriales; Atopobiaceae.